Long non-coding RNA from Nannospalax galili (Upper Galilee mountains blind mole rat), 2773 nucleotides. RefSeq lists it as uncharacterized. NCBI's taxonomy places the organism in Eukaryota, Metazoa, Chordata, Mammalia, Rodentia, Spalacidae. The transcript has 2 exons. The record is from RefSeq and is a predicted model, not a curated record.
AACUCAAAUUGAAGGUCCUAAUCAUGUUGUGGUAAAGAAGGGGCAGCAUACUGCAGAGGAAGACUGCCAGUAACCUGUAAAGUGCUGUGCAAUAAAAGGGAACAUCAAUUAGGACGUGAGGGAAGUGCUUGGAAGUUAGAGAUGGAGAAGAGGUUGAAGAAGAGCCAAGGGUAAUCAGUCUGAAAUCCAUUCUUUAAGUUACAAUGAUUAUGGAUAGUUGGUUUUCUUCUCCUGUACAGUCAAAAUUCUCACAUUCCUAGACCGGAUCUUCCAUUUAACAUUACUAUCAUGGCCGGGCUCUAAAUGCCUUUCAAAAGACACAGUUAUACCUUUGUGUUUGCAUUCAUGUUUCUCUGGUCAUCUUGUUCUUUUAAACUUGUCCAACCUUUGAUGACUGCUCAACAUUCAAAACGAAACCAUUCCUUUCCUUUUAUAGAGCCUUUAUCAAACCUGAAACAGGGUUAAGACUUCCUCAAGGUGUGGGAACUUCAAGGUGUGGGAACAAGGUUAAGAUUUCCUCUUCUAUGUCUGACUUUACAGUAGCACUCAUUUUGAUGUUCUGUAAUUAUUUUAAAAAAACAUUCAUUAAUAUGUCUGUAUUUUUUAUGUGUAUGAGUGUAUUGCCUGCAUGUAUGUGAAUGCACCCAUGUUGUGCAAUGCAGAGGAGGUCAGCAGAGGGUUUCGGAUUCCCCUGGAACUGGAGUUAAGGAUGGUUCGUAGCUGCCAUGUGGAUGCUGAACCAUCUCUCCAGCCCCUACGUCUAUCUUUUUAAUUACUUUGUGAGUGUCAUAAAUACAUGGGCCAUUUCCCUUACAACUAUUUAUACUGCUGAUUUGCUCCAUCUAGAAGAUACUUAAAAAUGUUUGAUGAUUCACUGAACUUCUGAUAAACCUAGUGCUCUGGGGAUAAGCUGCAGUGUGGUCGUUGGCAUGAAGAAUUUCUAAACUGAGAGAACACUGAACUUCCUCAGUUGUUGAGGUCUGAAAAUGCACACAAUGCAUGUUGUAGGAGUCACAAAACAUAUGCCACUUAAAGUUAGCAUAUGCUAUUUUAGAAAAAAAGUCUCCUCCCUUAUCUAUACUUAAACAAACUAGGUAAUUCUUCACCUUUUAUGCACUAAAGCCCUCCCUUUUCACUUUAAAGCACAUCAGGGAUGAAGAUAUAUGGUGCUAGAUGCUAGAGUUACCCAGGAUAUAGUGAAACAGUAUCAUAAGGAACAAAUGCUUUCAGAAGAACUGGAGCCAGUGGGGAUAAUGGGCAAAUAUGAAGGGCUAUUCUCAUCAUUAUACAGGCUGUGUAACCAAGCUGAAAUGGGAGUUACUUAUUCCUUUUGUUGAAAAAAGAAUGUGAGGGAAAUGGAAACCGAAACUAACCGGUUUCCUAUAAACGCAGAAAUGAGUAUCCAGAUGGUGGAGAAACACCUUUUGCAACCACCACCUUCCAGAAAGACAAAUGAUGAGUUUUGAGAAGCUGAAAAGCAAUGUCUGCUUAUGUCUUCUGCGGAAAUGCUUUGAGAUGUGCUUUCUUUCUUGAAUCUCUCAUUCUGCUGUAAAUCUGCAUCCCUCACAAGGAUUCUCACCCUUCAUAGAUCUAAAGAUGUGGCAUUGUUUAUAUUUGUGCAUGUGGGUGGGGUAUGUGUGCAUGUGUUCAUGUGUAUUAUGAGUUAAUAAAAUAGUGAUUUCUUUUAGAUACUUGGGGAAGAUGUUAUAGACCAAUGUAAUUCUAAAACUUACAUCAUUAUCAUCAUGAUCAUCAUCUUCAUGUUUGGUCAUUGGUUUUUUUCAAAGUAAAACUUUAUCUCUAAUAUGGAAACCAUUUCAGGAAAUAUGACACUAUACUAUAUUUCUUUUUGGAGGAAGUAGAUGGUAAAAUUUUCUUCACACAGACAUAACAACUAUCAAACACAAUCUUCAACAGAAGAAUCCUUCACCUUUUGGCAAAGUUGUAGGAGCAGAAAACACAAAAGUGGCCAAAGUGCUUAGGAAGAAUGUAUAUUGUCAAGGGAAUCAGAAGGCUAGAUGCAAAUCCUUAUUGAGGCAGUUACUGCGGGUGUAUUCAUGAGCAUGCCACUCACCUUUGAGCUUAUUCCUAAACCAAGGAGUCUGAGGAGCUAAUAGCUAUGACUACUUAUUGUUCUAUGAUUAUGUGACCAUAUUUUCUCCCAGCCCCACCUGUUAUUGGCCAGCUUCCAUUAGCUUUAGUUUAUUGAGAAGGAAAGAAGCCACAUGGGUAAUAUUGCAGUGCCGCUACGUCUCCCCACCCCUGUCUGAGAAACAAAAGAGCCACAAAGAAUUAAGCAUAAAGAGGGAAGAAAUCUUAACCGAAGAAAUAUCUUCUUUAUCUACGUCCAUUUCCUCCCACAAGGAAAAAUGGCAGUGUCAGUGGUACAUUACAAUCUCUCUCUCUUAUUAGUCUUUAAUCUUAGCACCUGCACAGCAGAGAUCUUUACAAUUCAUUGCAUAUGCUCUCCCCUUUCCCCCCUCCUCACAGCACCUGAGGCCUAAGAAGCCACCAGCUCAAAGCUCCACAAAAGGCUGAGACCCUUCCUCAAGACAUAGUGUAGAAGUAACAGACAUGCCCCACGGUUUUAUACAGUUGCUAGAACACUUAAGUUUCCAACAAAUGAAGAUUUUCCUCCUUUCCUUUGAAUACUAAUUACAUUUUACAAAUUUUUUGUUUCGUUUGUUUUGCUUUGUUUUGUUCUGUUGUGUUUUUACAACAAAAGGGGAAGUCCAUGGCGAAGGGUCCCGGGUUAGCAGAGUUUGGCUGUCAU